RNAcentral lists this unclassified non-coding RNA (286 nucleotides) under uncultured fungus. RNAcentral describes it as "sequence contains ITS1". Lineage: Eukaryota; Fungi. The record is from RNAcentral.
GUAUAUAUUUCACUUUUUCAUUAUAGACAUUCUAAACUCGUUUGUGAUAGAUGACAUAGACCCCCGAGGCAAAAGGCAAAGCCGGCCUUUUUCAAAGAAAAAGCGACAGCAGUCCCUACUCGAAUGAGAACAUUCAUAAAAAGGCCCAAGAAUCUACAAGAUGUGCACAGUUGGAGAAAUAAUAAAGAUGAGACAAGCGUGCACACACCCCCCCGAGAGGGGCCAGCAACAGCCUGUUCAAGUUUAUAAUACGAUAAUGAUCCUUCCGCAGGUUCACCUACGGAAA